ACUAUGAUAAUAGAGAAACUCAAUGAACAGUGGCAGGUAGAUGAUUCACCUACCUGCCUUUCUGCUUCACCCUUUCAUUGCCCUGCCACGUUUUGAAUGGUUUGACACCUGUUUUGUGGGUGCUAUUUGCCAGGCUUAUCUCAUCAUCUCGUCUUUUUCUCUGAGGGUUUAGAUUUUUGAACAGUAAACCCACUGCAUUCUGUGGGUUUCUUUAUCUCUGUCAUGCUUUCUUCUCAGGUGAUUGAAGUUGAGAAUCUUUUAAUACUUGUGUUCUCAUGCCUUCAGGGCUCUUGUGAUGUUUAUGUAGGGUUUUUGUUUCCAUAUUUGUUUUGGGGUUUUUUCGUAAGUUGGAUUUCUGAUUCCCGAUUUGGGCCGCCGACUUGCCCUAUUCGGUUUUCUGAUUUGGGUUUUGUCGCCGUUUAUGUGGUUAGUCUCAUAUGGGGUUGCCGAUUUGUGAUUUUUUGCCGGAAUCGUAAUGGGUUUAAACCCUAAUACCAAUGCAAAGUGUAUAUUUCUUUUCCUUGCUGAUGAGGCUAUGAUGAUUUUGUAGAUCUGAGUAAAAACUGAAUGAAGAUAGUUGCAUGGCGUGCCAAGGUUGUAGGAUGGCAGUUCAUGCAACCUCUCUUGCAGCCAUGGUGUUGUCAUCUUCAUGCACAAUCUGAGCCUCGCAAUGCGAAUUUUUUGCAAGUUAGACACCAUGAAUGACCUUCGCCGACGGUCUGUUGGUGAUUGAGGUUUCAAAAAGGGAUCGUGUAUAAUCGUUGUCAUAUCUGUACAAGAAAAUGGACUUUGGUUGGUCUGAUUGUGUUGCAAGGGUUCAGCGUUUUUGAGAUUAGGUGAAACUGAUUGAAUAUUGGUUUAGAUUUAAAUCGUUCAAACUACCUAGAGAUCUGGAGUAAACCAAAUCAACCAAUUUAGUAUUUGGUUGACUUGGUUGUUAAAUAUCAACAUGUUUUGUAUCAAAAUGUGCAGCACUCAUGGUACUUGAAUGGAAUAUUGAAGUAGUCAUUUAACAAUGGCUUAUAUUUAUCCAUAUUUUUUUUCCAUAAGAACUCAUUUUCGACGGUUGUGAUUGUAUUGGGUCUCAAGAGUAUCCUAAAUUAGAUGGUUCAGUUGUUCUGCGGCUUGCUAAUCUAGAACCUUUUCUUGUAAUAAGAUGGUUUAUUAAGUAAAUCUUCAUUUUGUUCGACUGAGAAUUCAUGUCAUGCGGAUGGGAUGAACAGUGGUAUGGUCAUUUUAGGGAUUUACCACCAGAUACUCGGGAUUCUCCAACAGCUUCCAUCGCGCUUUGAAUAGAUUAUCAACACACAAUUUAGGGCUCUAGAGAGAGGAGUAAGAGAGACAGAUUAGAGAGGGGAGUGGAGCGACAGUGAUGGAGGAACUGGCCGUCGUUUUACGCUGGCCACCCAACCCUCAAGUUAAGCCGGUGGUGAUGGUUUGGUGGUAUGCCGCACCGUAGUUGACGGCGACCAUGACGGCUAUGGGUCUAGGGUUCCGGCGAGGGUACCAGUGUCUCUUCGGCCGAUCUAGAUAUAGAAUAGGCAACUCAUCAUGUACAGUUGAGAAGUUGAAUUAGCAGUCACAUUUCAAUACCAGUUUCUACCAACUUGUCUACUUAUCACCAUUACGUGGGGCAACGGCGACUCCGGUUAUUUGUGGCUGCGUGUGAGAUGCGUUGGGGCUACAAAUGGUAGUGAAAUAACACUGGAUAGUAGGGGUCACGACUACCAUAAUAGAACAACAAAUGGACAACAACGACUUGCAAUCAGGUGCAGUCUUGGGAUCGAUUACGGGUCGAACUGUGAGUAACAGCACAACAACAAGCCGAGAUCUUUGGCAGUUGUGUGGGAGUGUUUUGGGCUGCUAACGGUGUCUAAAAAACCAUUAUAAGUGAUGGUAACGGCUGCCAGAAAAGAUCAUAAUCAAGAGCCCAUGCUCAAGUGAUUUGGGGACGGUUUCAGUGCCGAAUCAUAGGUGUACAAACUGUGAAUUCGUAAGGAUACACAUAUGGUAGUAAUAAUAUAGUAUUCAUCAUACAAAAAUGGAUAAGAGAAGACCUGGGUCUACACUCAUUUGGACCCAAUUAUUAUUGGAUACUGGUAUUUGAUGGGUCAAUUAUGCUCUUUGCGCUCUAUAUUAUCUCUGCAAUACAUCUACCAAAGAUGACUUUUGAGACCAAAAGUGGUAGAUAUCAUUAUGAGGUGCAGUCAGGGUUUGUUUGAUCGUCUUUCGAGAGGUAAUGCAAGGUCGGGUAGUGUCUUUGGAGUCAAAAGGGG
Helianthus annuus (common sunflower) is the source of this 2276-nucleotide long non-coding RNA. RefSeq lists it as uncharacterized. The record is from RefSeq and is a predicted model, not a curated record. Lineage: Eukaryota; Viridiplantae; Streptophyta; Magnoliopsida; Asterales; Asteraceae. The transcript is spliced from 3 exons.